RNAcentral lists this ribosomal RNA (545 nucleotides) under Debaryomyces fabryi. RNAcentral describes it as "eukaryotic LSU rRNA". It matches the Rfam family "Eukaryotic large subunit ribosomal RNA", at positions 93 to 654 of the family's 3401-position model. Lineage: Eukaryota; Fungi; Ascomycota; Pichiomycetes; Serinales; Debaryomycetaceae. The record is from RNAcentral.
GUGAAGCGGCAAAAGCUCAAAUUUGAAAUCUGGCACCUUCGGUGUCCGAGUUGUAAUUUGAAGAAGGUAACUUUGGAGUUGGCUCUUGUCUAUGUUCCUUGGAACAGGACGUCACAGAGGGUGAGAAUCCCGUGCGAUGAGAUGCCCAAUUCUAUGUAAAGUGCUUUCGAAGAGUCGAGUUGUUUGGGAAUGCAGCUCUAAGUGGGUGGUAAAUUCCAUCUAAAGCUAAAUAUUGGCGAGAGACCGAUAGCGAACAAGUACAGUGAUGGAAAGAUGAAAAGAACUUUGAAAAGAGAGUGAAAAAGUACGUGAAAUUGUUGAAAGGGAAGGGCUUGAGAUCAGACUUGGUAUUUUGCGAUCCUUUCCUUCUUGGUUGGGUUCCUCGCAGCUUACUGGGCCAGCAUCGGUUUGGAUGGUAGGAUAAUGACUAAGGAAUGUGGCUCUACUUCGGUGGAGUGUUAUAGCCUUGGUUGAUACUGCCUGUCUAGACCGAGGACUGCGUCUUUGACUAGGAUGCUGGCAUAAUGAUCUUAAGCCACCCGUCU